AAUAAACAAAGAGAUUGCGGGAUGUUGUUUACGUGUGUCACUCGACACUGACUGCAAGAAACAAAGAGUGGAGAGCUAAUGCAUGGUGCUAAGUAUGGAAAAGUCUCUUGUGGUUUGGUUGUGCCAGAGACAAAUGUACAUUAUUUCCAUGUUGGGUCAGAAGUCUCGGUACACUUUGGGUGAGUGGCAGUUGGGAAGAUGGAUGACCUUCAGAUAGUUUGAGAUGAAGAAGUUCUUUUAAAUGAUUGAAAGUGAUCAUCAUAGAAUCAACUCCAUUAUGAAGAUAAAUUAUGAGCAAGGCAGCACUCCUUUUGUCCAACAUCUGAGAGAUCUGAGUACCCAGCCUACUGUUGAAUUAAUUGGUGAC
This is a long non-coding RNA of Saccostrea echinata, 367 nucleotides long. RefSeq lists it as uncharacterized. The transcript has 4 exons. NCBI's taxonomy places the organism in Eukaryota, Metazoa, Mollusca, Bivalvia, Ostreida, Ostreidae. The record is from RefSeq and is a predicted model, not a curated record.